RNAcentral lists this ribosomal RNA (464 nucleotides) under uncultured bacterium. Its description in RNAcentral is "partial 16S ribosomal RNA". It matches the Rfam family "Bacterial small subunit ribosomal RNA", at positions 339 to 795 of the family's 1533-position model. The record is from RNAcentral.
CUACGGGUCGCUGCAGUGGGGAAUAUUGGACAAUGGGGGCAACCCUGAUCCAGCGACGCCGCGUGAAUGAAGAAGGUCUUCGGGUUGUAAAGUACUUUCAGCGGGGAGGAAGGGAGUAAAGUUAAUACCUUUGCUCAUUGACGUUACCCGCAGAAGAAGCACCGGCUAACUCCGUGCCAGCAGCCGCGGUAAUACGGAGGGUGCAAGCGUUAAUCGGAAUUACUGGGCGUAAAGCGCACGCAGGCGGUUUGUUAAGUCAGAUGUGAAAUCCCCGGGCUCAACCUGGGAACUGCAUCUGAUACUGGCAAGCUUGAGGCUCGUAGAGGGGGGUAGAAUUCCAGGUGUAGCGGUGAAAUGCGUAGAGAUCUGGAGGAAUACCGGUGGCGAAGGCGGCCCCCUGGACGAAGACUGACGCUCAGGUGCGAAAGCGUGGGGAGCAAACAGGAUUAGAUACCCUCGUAGUC